AAGUACCUACCACGCCACCCGCUACCUGCAAUAAUCCAUCUGAAGAGGUCGCCGGGCAGCGGCUCGGCAGACAGACUGACCUGCGGGGAGGUGCGGUUUCCAGUGGCGCGGGACAGCCGGCUCCGAGAAGGAACUGGGACCUUUGCCUAGGGCAAGACGUCAACAGGAACCCGCAGGCCCGGCCUGGACACCUGCUGCCCUCACUGGAAGCUUUAACUCCCACUCGAGUCUCUUGGCGUCGUCAGUGCCAGGAGCGCUUGGAUUGGGAUGGGGACGAAGAAAGGUGCCUCGCUCGCCGAGCCCCGCUGCACUUGGGGAACUGGCAAAGUCGAGGUUUCCUCACAGCGUUGAGAUUGAGACUGGGGGUCGUGGUCUCAAAUAGUCAAGACCCCCUGCUGGGAGGAGCUAUCCUGCUCUUUGGAAGAAAUGGGCAUGCCAGAUGCCUGGAAGAUCAGAGGCUCACAUUCCAGCUGGAACCAUGGAGGAUGUAGAAGAGAAGAAGAAGAAGGUUCCUGCUAUGCCAGAAACCCUUAAGAAAAAGGGAAGGAAUUUCUCAGAGCUG
This 562-nucleotide non-coding RNA is filed under the name Pan troglodytes (chimpanzee). Lineage: Eukaryota; Metazoa; Chordata; Mammalia; Primates; Hominidae. The record is from RNAcentral.